UACGUAGGUGGCAAGCGUUGUCCGGAUUUAUUGGGUUUAAUGGGUGCGUAGGCGGUCUUAUAAGUCAGUGCUGAAAUAUCCCGGCUUAACCGGGAGGGUGGCAUUGAUACUGUAGGACUUGAGUAAAGUUGAGGUUGGCGGAAUUGACGGUGUAGCGGUGAAAUGCUUAGAUAUCGUCAAGAACACCGAUAGUGUAGACAGCUAACUAAGCUUUAACUGACGCUGAGGCACGAAAGUGUGGGGAUCAAACAGG
This 253-nucleotide ribosomal RNA is filed under the name uncultured bacterium. RNAcentral describes it as "partial 16S ribosomal RNA". It matches the Rfam family "Bacterial small subunit ribosomal RNA", at positions 524 to 776 of the family's 1533-position model. The record is from RNAcentral.